This 603-nucleotide ribosomal RNA is filed under the name Triticum aestivum (bread wheat). RNAcentral describes it as "partial small subunit ribosomal RNA". The record is from RNAcentral. Lineage: Eukaryota; Viridiplantae; Streptophyta; Magnoliopsida; Poales; Poaceae.
GAAGUGGCCGCCUGGGAUGCCCUCCUCCAAGACAUCGCCCUUCUCCCGAUGAACGUCACUGACACCCCGGAAGCCAUCUCUUGGCGUCUGGAAUCAUCCGGCUGCUUCUCCACCAAAUCCCUCUAUGCGGCCAUCGCCCCCUCGACGGCCCCCGAGCCCUUCAGUCUGAUUUGGGACAUCCGCUUGCCCCUGAAAAUCUGGAUCUUCCUAUGGCAAUGGAUCCGCGGCCGCCUCCCAUCCGGCAUGGAGGUCCUCAAGCGUAAUGGACCCGGAGAUGGGAUUUGUCCCCUGUGCGGCACGGUGGAGGACGCUAAUCACAUCUUCUUCUCGUGCUCCACGGCCCAGUUUCUCUGGUCCAGUUUCCGCGAGACGGUUGGGGGCCAGUGGUGCAACUCCAAUUUCCCUGACCUGCUUGCGGAGAUCCAUGCCUCCCCCCCUCGCUACCGCCAUAUUAGAUGGCUCCGCGUUGGGGUCCUUGCCUGGACGCUUUGGACCGUUCGCAAUAAGCUUGUCAUCCAGAAGGUGCCUCUCCGACGCGCUACUGACGCCAUCUUUAAAAUGUGUGGGUACUUGCAGCUUUGGCGGCCGCUUAGCCGCCCUUAG